UUACUAACCUGGCAGGAGAGUUACUGUGAUCACGAAGAUGUUUUUCCCAGGGCAAGGGUUACCCAUUGCACUCUGGAUAUGCUGACCCCUGCGAUUUCCCCAAAUGUGGGAAACUCGAGUGCAUAACAUGUGGUAGUGGGGGACUGUGUUCACGCUUUCCCCUG
This is a small nuclear RNA of Mustela putorius furo (domestic ferret), 164 nucleotides long. Its record names the gene U1. It matches the Rfam family "U1 spliceosomal RNA". Rfam says of the family: U1 is a small nuclear RNA (snRNA) component of the spliceosome (involved in pre-mRNA splicing). The record is from Ensembl. Lineage: Eukaryota; Metazoa; Chordata; Mammalia; Carnivora; Mustelidae.